CUUCCGGGAGCGGAGAGGCGGCCGGGGGGAGAGGCUGGAGGGAGGGGGGCUUCACGGAGCUCCAGCCAGGGCCGCGGUGCGCCUGCACGUCACGGCUACUCAAACCCAAGCACGUCCCGAAAGCGGUAUUUUCUGCGUCUGGGAGGUUUUUGCAUCCUCAGUUCCCACCGCUGGGGCUGGCGGCGACCAACUCGCGGACCUGUCGCAGCCAGAGAGCUGUCAUUUUAGCACCGGGAUUCAGAAUUGAUCCAGUCCGCAGCGGAGGGGGCACAUCCCAGCUCCCAAGCUGCUGAGUGUCUCUGGCUGGAACAAUAGUAGUUUUUCUCUGCGAGGCUGCAAUUAACAUCUUAUUUGUUCUGGCUCCAUACAGGCUUUGUCAGGAUCGCGGUGCGGCGACCGAGGUUGAGCUCUUGCAUUGCUUUCUGCUUGGCAAUGGAAUCGUGGUUUCGGGGUCUAAACUUUUGUUUCGUUUUGUAGUCUUAAUGCAUCUGAUUCUUUUUCAAGUUUCCCUAGUAACAGGUUUGGGGACGGGUGGGAAGAAACGAGAAAAGGGGUGAAGAGAAACAACCAGAUUAUAUAGAAAGGGAAAAGGGAUAAGUUUCCCCACCUUUUAAUCUAUCCAUCUGCCUAUCUAUUAUCUAUCAGUCAUUUUGCCUCCUGGACAGUUGGCUGACCAAGUGUCUGAUAAACCAGCUUCAGAUACACGCUACAAAAGGUCAUUCGCCUCCUGAUUAUGUCUCUACUUGUAAACGCAGUUGGUGGUUUGCAAAACAAGUGCUAAAAUAGUGCAAGGAUGUGGUGGGAGGAAACCAUAAUGGGCAAUUUAUAUAAAGUGCUGGAAUCUUCAUAAGGGUGAGUUUCUCGAGCGGCAGGUGAAGUUGAAUGAAGCAAUUUUCCAUCAUUUGUUCCCCUCACUCUUGCAUUUUUUUCCUCCGCUUGUUUCUCUCCCCUGGAGCGAUUAUGGAUAGCCAAGAACACCAUUUUAAAAGAGAUUGAUAGUGAAAACAGGAAGAUGCUGAUGGUCUUUUAUCCACUGAAGUUGUUUGAUAUAUUAAAAUUGGUCCUUUACUUCUUAAUACAUAUUAACAGAGUGACCCUCUUCAAGGCUUUCCCUUCUUAAACGAGUGCCUGGGAUAAACACUCUGUAAGGGAAACAGUUAAUAAUUCCCCAACAGGCUUUAACUAUUUUCCCAGUAACAGAUCACCGGCAAGAGAGCAGCCUGGGUGGCAUUUUGGUUUUGUGUCAUUUUGGUUCUUUACAAUAUUU
Molecule: long non-coding RNA, 1267 nt
Filed under: Rhinopithecus bieti (black snub-nosed monkey)
Lineage: Eukaryota; Metazoa; Chordata; Mammalia; Primates; Cercopithecidae
Description: lncRNA (ENSRBIG00000045528.1)
Source: RNAcentral